Molecule: long non-coding RNA, 315 nt
Organism: Corapipo altera (White-ruffed manakin)
Lineage: Eukaryota; Metazoa; Chordata; Aves; Passeriformes; Pipridae
Exons: 3
Source: RefSeq, a predicted model, not a curated record
UCUAUAUUUAAAAAAUAAGAAAAAAAACCGCCAAACCCCGAAAAACUUACUGGGUAAAUAGCCCAAGGCAAAUAACUAAAGCUCAAAACAAGCGUGACUCAGCAGUCACUCUGAAUGUCUUCAUCAGCUGCUGCCGGCUACACCCAGACGAGCCAACCACCUCCCGGAAAACUGCAUUCUGUAAGUGUCUGUGUGACUCACGGCUGCCCUGCCCACUCGAUAUGAAUAUCAAAGGAGUCCAGAACCACAUGAAUUUCAACAAGGGGAAGUGCUGGAUUCUGCACCUGGGAUGGGGCAACCCUGGAUGUACAGCCA